UACGUAGGGGGCGAGCGUUGUCCGGAGUUACUGGGCGUAAAGAGCGUGUAGGCGGUUGGAAAAGUCAGGUGUGAAAUUCUUCGGCUCAACCGGGGGACUGCGCCUGAAACUUUCCGACUGGAGUUCGGGAGGGGCAACUGGAAUUCCUGGUGUAACGGUGAAAUGUGUAGAUAUCAGGAGGAACACCCGUGGCGAAGGCGGGUUGCUGGACCGAAACUGACGCUGAGACGCGAAAGCGUGGGUAGCAAACAGGAUUAGAUACCCUGGUAGUCCACGCUGUAAACGAUGAGUGCUAGGUGUAGGGGGUAUCGACUCCUUCUGUGCCGCAGCUAACGCAUUAAGCACUCCGCCUGGGGAGUACGGUCGCAAGAUUAAA
RNAcentral lists this ribosomal RNA (376 nucleotides) under uncultured bacterium. RNAcentral's name for it is "bacterial SSU rRNA". It matches the Rfam family "Bacterial small subunit ribosomal RNA", at positions 524 to 898 of the family's 1533-position model. The record is from RNAcentral.